UCCUCUGUGGAAACACUGUAUGCUUUGACACUGACCCAUCUCUCCAUCCCUUGUUCUGUGACCAGUGAGCCCUCACUUGGCUUUAGAAGAUCCUUGUAUGAGAUGGUUCAACCUAAACUGUAAAAACAUAGUGAACUGAAAUCCCUGGAAAGGCCACAUGCCACAUGUAUUGAAGAGCCUUCCUUCCAGUUCUAUAAAUUCUGUCUCUCUCUCUCUCAAUCUCGGGGUACUGGUGUCAUCCCAGGCAGAGCAUCUGUCCAUCUCCAUUCCUGACCGCAUGCUUUCUCCACGGUCUUCAGUCCCGGUAUUUCCAAACUGACCAAGGCUCUACUGGCAGCUUAAGACCCUACCUGGAAGAGUCAAACCGAGGACAGCCUCAAGUCCAAAGAGUAAUGUCGACUGUGUAUUUUGACAUGGAUGGCUGAGAAUCCUCUAUGCUGUCUUGAAGCACGAAGGGAAUUGUCCUCGUAAAAUGAUGCAUGAUGGAUGUCAUUGCUAGAUGCUUUGACAUUUUGGGAAGAAACAGUUUGCAGACAUCCUGGCCUGGAGCAACCCCUGCUUCUGCCAGAAUACUUACUCACCCAGGACUGCAACAGAAAUCUCUCUGUAAAAUAUUGUAGACGAGAAAGAAAUUAAUGCAAGACCCGUUAUCACUCAGAGAAAGCAACCGGAUGGCAAUGGCUACUCCCCAGUACAAGCAUUCAAGCUAACAGUUUCCCAGACUCCAAGAAGAUCAAGGGGACUACAAACCCAUUUUAGGGGGCAUUAAAUUAAGUCCAAUAUUUUAUCUUUAUAGGAUAUAUAUUCUCCAGAGAGCUUCAAAAAUGCCAAUGGUUAACGGCGUCUAAUGUUCUGGAGAUAUAUAUGAUAUUUAUAUAUAUAUAUACAUAUAAUGCAAUUUAUGUCUGUUCACUAUGGUAUUCUAAACCUGGCACAGAACAUAGAACCUUUCUGACAGGUGGCUUGAAUGCCUGUUUCCCAAGAUUGAUUUAAAAUAUUAGACAUGAAUACCCAAGAAGGAUUUGUACAGGACUACUGCUAACGAUGGGAAGUUUAAGCUUUCCCCUAUUUCUCCAAGAUCAAGACACGAGUCUGUCCCAUUUUCCCCAGCGUUGUGAAUUGUCCCAAUGCUCUUAUCUGCUCAGUUUGAAAUAUAAAUAUUGCUUGAUGUUUAAAAAUCACGCUUCUCAGGUGAUUUGUGUGCUGGCCUCUCAGAAAUAUUAUUCCUGUCCCCCUUGUAAUCAAUUUUAUGCAAAUGAUUCUCAAAACGUGUCAAGCUCUGGAGUUACUUUCAUGAGUUAAAUCAGAUGUGUUCUGCCCAUGUUGCAUAUAAUAUGAUAUAAAACAUGAAAAUCAGACAGUAUUUUCAUCUUAAUUUCCCUUCCUAUUUCAGUCUGUGUGUCUGCCUCAAUUAAUGACU
Long non-coding RNA from Mesocricetus auratus (golden hamster), 1420 nucleotides. RefSeq lists it as uncharacterized. The record is from RefSeq and is a predicted model, not a curated record. Lineage: Eukaryota; Metazoa; Chordata; Mammalia; Rodentia; Cricetidae. The transcript is spliced from 3 exons.